Molecule: ribosomal RNA, 440 nt
Filed under: uncultured bacterium
Lineage: Bacteria
Description: partial 16S ribosomal RNA
Rfam family: Bacterial small subunit ribosomal RNA
Source: RNAcentral
CCUACGGGUGGCUGCAGUGGGGAAUCUUGGACAAUGGGCGCAAGCCUGAUCCAGCCAUGCCGCGUGAAUGAUGAAGGCCUUAGGGUUGUAAAAUUCUUUCGUCGGGGACGAUAAUGACGGUACCCGAAGAAGAAGCUCCGGCUAACUUCGUGCCAGCAGCCGCGGUAAUACGAAGGGGGCUAGCGUUGUUCGGAAUUACUGGGCGUAAAGCGCGUGUAGGCGGGCCGUUAAGUCGGGGGUGAAAGCCCAGAGCUCAACUCUGGAAUUGCCUUCGAUACUGGCGGCCUGGAGCAUGAUAGAGGCAAGUGGAAUUGCGAGUGUAGAGGUGAAAUUCGCAGAUAUUCGCAGGAACACCGGUGGCGAAGGCGACUUGCUGGAUCAUUGCUGACGCUGAGACGCGAAAGCGUGGGGAGCAAACAGGAUUAGAUACCCUGGUAGUC